AAUGAUUUAAACUGUGUAAGUAUUUAUAUCUACAAAAUUGUUGGGUAGAACAUAGGUAGAUGGAAUAGUUGGUGACUAUGGAGUUAGCGCCUAUUGUAUAAACCUUGGCAACGAUGUGACUUCGUGCCUAUUUGAUGAACCUUGGCGACUAUGGAGUUAGCGCUUGUUGAGUAAACCUUGGCGACUAUGGAGUUAGCGCUUGUUGAGUAAACCUUGGCGACUAUGGAGUUAGCGCUUGUUGAGUAAACCUUGGCGACUAUGGAGUUAGCGCUUGUUAAGUGAACCUUGGUGACUAUGGAGUUAGCGCCUGAUAACUAUGGAUUUAGUACUUGAUAAAUAAACUUUGGCAGCAAUGGAAUUCGUGCCAAUUCCUUACGAAUAAAUGAAUGAAGGAUAGUUGGUUCUUAGGGUAAAACCUUAAGAAGAUAAUGGGGAUGGGUAAUUGGGUUGAUUGUUUGCUGAUUAAAUAUAAUAAUUAUAUUAUUGUGGGUUGAAAACCCUAUAUGCUCACCAGGCUCCCAAGCCUGACCCACUCAGUUUUCUUUUCAUUACAGGUAAUGGCACAAGGGUAUAAGUUGGAGGACUUGACGAGAGAUUUUGGAUUAUAGAUCAGUAGUUGAAUAACUAUUGUAAGGUCUAUUUUAUAUUGUUUAUGCUUUUGGUCUGUAACGAACAUGACAUCCCGAGUUUUUAUUAUUUAAUGAAAAUACAUUCUUUUCGAGAAAUGUUUUGAUAAAUGGUUAUCAUAUUUUAUUUUGGGAACAAAUUCCGCAACCGUUUUCUUUAAACGAUCACUCUGAUUUAUAAAACAAAGCAUAAACAAAUCGGUCUUUUCUGGCCGUGAAAUUGGGGAUGUCACAGUUGGUAUCAGAGCAUUAGUUUAAGCGAACUAGGAAUAUGGAUUUAUUUCUAGACUUAAACUUAGAAUGCUAAGCAAUGAUUGUGAGUUGAGUGUGUCCAUUAUAUUUUAGGUAGUACACCUAAAUUGACACAGGCACUAUUUUAUUUUAGGAAAAUUGCCUAAAAUGCUAUUAUGUGCUAAUUGUUAUAUGUUUGCCAUAUAUGAUGUUAAUUGUUCGGAUCUAUGGUCUGUUGCCGACCGGAUCUGGAAACCUUAUGUGUUUAGGAUUCUAAGCAUGCGUCUACGAUAUUAGAACUAACAUGUAAACGUUUCGGAGUGAUAAGGAUGAUUUGAAUAUCUAUCGUGACUAAGGAUAUAAUUUCACCUUAUUCGGUGUAUAGAUCAAAAAUGGUGAGAACGAGGAGUGGAGUUGGAAAUGCUGAUGAAAACAGGAAUCAAAUACCAGUAAUUGAACAAAUACCUAUUGUGGCAGCAGCGCCUGAACCAAUGACAAUGGCCGGAGUUCAAGUGAUGAUCCAGGCAAUGUUGAAUAAUCAGAUGGAAGAGACCAGACGUCUGAUCAGGCAGAAUCGCGAGGAAUUGUCAAUUCAAGUUGAAGAGCCCGAAGUAAAUGGAGGGCAGUCUGAAGGAGGAAACUACAGUGGGACCGUUGGUCAAGCCAACCCACCAAUAGUUCGCCAAAACAACCAGGAUAGAGGAAAUGAUGGACGUGGAUGCAAGUACAAGGAUUUCAUGGCAUCCAAACCACCAUGUCUUUCUGGGAGCCCGACACCGGUGCAAGUCAUGGACUGGAUCUCCGAAAUGGAGACAAUGUUUGAAAGUUGCGAGUGUAGCAACAGACAGAAGACCGCUCGUGCAAUCCCUCUGUUAAAAUCUGGAGUAUUGAGCUGGUGGAAGUUACUGGCUGGUUCGAUGCCCAAGGGGGAAGCUAGCAAGAUGUCUUGGGAAGAAUUCGUGGUGCAACUGAAAUUGCAAUACUGCUCUGAGAAAGAUCUUCUGGAAAUCAACAAUGAGUUCUAGAAUUUGAAGAAAGGAAAAUUGAGCGUUACUGAAUACGCUACGAGCUUUACGGAGAAGAUGAAGCUUAUUCCAUACCUAAUUCCAACUGAACUUUCCAAGGUCAACAAGUUUGCCAAUGGAUUACCAGCGGACUUUGGUCCGAUAGUCAAACAAGCAACCACUCUAAAAGCCGCCAUCUGGGCAGCCAAAAAUGUUGAGACCCAAAUAAAAGAAAAGGGUCUGGAAAGGGCUGAAGUUGGAGAGAAAAGGAAGCGUGAAGGAUCUUCAAUAAUCGACAAAGAAAGUAAAUUCUCGAAAUCUGGGGGAAGAGAUGAAGCUAAGUGGUGUGAGAAGUGUAAGAAGAAACACUUCGGGAAAUGUAGCGAGGAGAUGACUUGCUACAAAUGUGGGAAGACAGGGCACUACGCCAACAAGUGCGCACCUAUCAACAAGAUGUGCUAUAGGUGUAGUGAAGAAGGUCAUAUUUCUAAAGACUGCCCACAGAAAAACACACCUCCACAGCCAAGGGCAUUCAACAUGUUCCUCAACAAAGCAGAAAAGGAUGGGAGGAUUAAAAGAUGAAGACUUCAUAUUAAUAUAUAAAGUCUAUAAAGUCUGUAUCAGGAAGCAUAGCCUGUUAGAGGCAUAGUAUAGGGUGAACUUGAACUUUUGUGUAAUAGUUUCAAGAAUUAAUAUAAACCCUGGUUUUGUUAUCUGAUGUGUUGAAUGAUUAUAUGAUUUAUGUAUGGUGACUUGGUUAACUGCGAGACAAUACUUAGGACGAGUAUGAGUAGGUGUGAAUGGUAGUAGAGAUCUAUACUACCGGAAGCACAGGACUCACACUUGGAUCAUGGGAAGUCACAAGGUUAUCAAGAAGCUAGAAAUUGGUUUCGUUUUAUUCAAGUUUGUCAUUUCCCUUGUUUCGGUAAUGGCUAGUAGGAUGAUGGUUAUUCCGACCCUAGUGGUCAUAUUAAUUGAGUCCGACCGCGAUGAGAGGUCAUCGGGGCACGACCCAUCGGUUAGUUACAAUAAAUAAAUGAAUGUAUUUAUCCUUAGAAGAAGAAGGAGUCCACAACAAGGAUUUAUUUUGUAACUUAAAGAUGUCGAUCUAAAGUCCAACGUAGUACGAAGAGCAGAUGCAGGGUUGAGCAUCAAGGUUAUUACUUAGAAUGGAGAGAUAACUUAUGGAGUCAGUAUACGAAUCCUAUUUCGUUGAUGAUUCCGGGACGUAAUCAUCCUAAGGGGGAGAUAAUUGUAACGCCCGUAGAUCAGGGCUAGUCAAUUUAGAGACAAUAAGCGUCAAAAAUGACUUUUUGAUAGAAGAUUAUUUAGGAUGAAUAAUCCUAACUAAGUUGUAGUAUAUGUUACAAGGUUUCCGUGCAUAUAAAGAACGCCAAAAUCCGAGUUAUAACGAAGAAGUUAUGACUUGUUGAAGUUUCGCGACAGAACCGGCACAACGCUGAAUGACGUAAAAAGUGAAUUCACGUUAGAGUGAUAUUUAGCCUUAGCGAUCUAAACGAGAAUCGAAGAUCUCGUUGUUAGUAGCGAAACGACGAAAAGUUAGGCAAGAACGGACGUCGGACGAAGAAGUUAUGAAUUUAUAACGAAAUUUUCUGUCCCGACCUAUUAAAAAUAAAUAAUAAAAAUAAAAGUCAAAAUUAGCCGACGGAGUCUAAACGAAAGUCGUAGAGCGUAGUCUCACCUACGCGUGGAUAUAAAGAACGUCGAAAACGGAGUUCGUAUGAAGAAGAUAUGAAUUUUCGAAGUUUAUUAAUGAAUUAAUAAUUAAAUUUAAUUAUUAAAUCCCGGUAUUAUCCGAAGGCGAGUCAUCGGACUCAUCCGAAGUACGCCCCGCGUACAGCGAAGCAUGACGACCUUCGCACUCGAGUUCUUCGGAUGACGCAUGCAAUGACGUUUCGGACGCGUACGCCCCGCGUACUCCGAGGCUCCAGCCUCCUAUAAAUAGGAUGCGAGGGCAGCCGGCUCUUUUGCCAAUUUUCUCUCUUCUCUCUCCCGUUUUGCAUCGUUUUGCGUGCCAGAAAUACCCCGAAGCCCCGGUAUUAUUCUCGAGCCCCGAGGCAAGUCCCGAGAUCCCGAAGAUCCCGAGAAGUGCGGUUCCCGAGUCGAAGCUCUGCCCGCGAGAAGUUCGAUUUUUGUGGAGAUCUUCCAGAUCUGCUGAGGAUUACUACUUCUGCAAGUCGUAGUGUUGUCCGAUCAUCUUCUGAUCAAGUGAGUGUAUACUACCUUUCAUAAACACGAUAAUAAUACAAGUAUGGUUUGAGUGUAUUAAGUAUAUUGUUGUUUAUAUGUGUGAGUGUGUAGUUACUUUCUUCUAACACAUAAAUAUGAAGUAUUUGCUAUGAAAUACGUGCUAUGUGUUUAUAUGUUAUUUGUCUAUUUGAGAUGGGCAUGGAAAUUGGAGUUUUAUACAGGUGUUAAAUGAUUUAAACUGUGUAAGUAUUUAUAUCUACAAAAUUGUUGGGUAGAACAUAGGUAGAUGGAAUAGUUGGUGACUAUGGAGUUAGCGCCUAUUGUAUAAACCUUGGCGACGAUGUGACUUCGUGCCUAUUUGAUGAACCUUGGCGACUAUGGAGUUAGCGCUUGUUGAGUAAACCUUGGCGACUAUGGAGUUAGCGCUUGUUGAGUAAACCUUGGCGACUAUGGAGUUAGCGCUUGUUGAGUAGACCUUGGCGACUAUGGAGUUAGCGCUUGUUAAGUGAACUUUGGUGACUAUGGAGUUAGCGCCAGAUAACUAUGGAUUUAGUACUUGAUAAAUAAGCUUUGGCAGCAAUGGAAUUCGUGCCAAAUUCCUUAUGAAUAAAUGAAUGAAGGAUAGUUGGUUCUUAGGGUAAAACCUUAAGAAGAUAAUGGGGAUGGGUAAUUGGGUUGAUUGUUUGCUGAUUACAUAUAAUAAUUAUAUUAUUGUGGGUUGAAAACCCUAUAUGCUCACCAGGCUCCCAAGCCUGACCCACUCAAUUUUCUUUUCAUUACAGGUAAUGGAACAAGGGUAUAAGUUGGAGGACUUGACGAGAGAUUUUGGAUUAU
Molecule: long non-coding RNA, 4906 nt
Filed under: Lactuca sativa (garden lettuce)
Lineage: Eukaryota; Viridiplantae; Streptophyta; Magnoliopsida; Asterales; Asteraceae
Description: long non-coding RNA (LSAT_LNC009453)
Source: RNAcentral